RNAcentral lists this unclassified non-coding RNA (263 nucleotides) under plant metagenome. Its description in RNAcentral is "partial contains small subunit ribosomal RNA and internal transcribed spacer 1". The stretch from base 1 to 54 matches the Rfam family "Eukaryotic small subunit ribosomal RNA", at positions 1778 to 1831 of the family's 1831-position model. The record is from RNAcentral.
GGAAGUAAAAGUUGUAACAAGGUUUCCGUAGGUGAACCUGCGGAAGGAUCAUUAAAGAGUAAGGGUCUUCGGGCCCGAUCUCCAACCCUUUGUUUAACUACCAUGUUGCUUUGGCGGGCCCGUCUCACGACCGCCGGAAGUUUGGCUUCGACCAAACUUCUGGCCCGUGCCCGUCAGUGGCCCCUUCAAAUUCUUGAUCAAGUAUGAUGUCUUAGUUAAAAACUUAAUAGUUAAAACUUUCACCAACGGAUCUCUUGGUUCUG